AGUGAACGCUGGCGGUAGGCCUAACACAUGCAAGUCGAACGGCAGCACAGUAAGAGCUUGCUCUUACGGGUGGCGAGUGGCGGACGGGUGAGGAAUACAUCGGAAUCUACUUUUUCGUGGGGGAUAACGUAGGGAAACUUACGCUAAUACCGCAUACGACCUACGGGUGAAAGCAGGGGAUCUUCGGACCUUGCGCGAUUGAAUGAGCCGAUGUCGGAUUAGCUAGUUGGCGGGGUAAAGGCCCACCAAGGCGACGAUCCGUAGCUGGUCUGAGAGGAUGAUCAGCCACACUGGAACUGAGACACGGUCCAGACUCCUACGGGAGGCAGCAGUGGGGAAUAUUGGACAAAGGGCGCAAGCCUGAUCCAGCCAUACCGCGUGGGUGAAGAAGGCCUUCGGGUUGUAAAGCCCUUUUGUUGGGAAAGGAAAGCAGCAGGUUAAUACCCCGCUGUUCUGACGGUACCCAAAGAAUAAGCACCGGCUAACUUCGUG
This 492-nucleotide ribosomal RNA is filed under the name uncultured bacterium. RNAcentral's name for it is "partial 16S ribosomal RNA". It matches the Rfam family "Bacterial small subunit ribosomal RNA", at positions 29 to 507 of the family's 1533-position model. The record is from RNAcentral.